RNAcentral lists this ribosomal RNA (431 nucleotides) under uncultured bacterium. RNAcentral describes it as "partial 16S ribosomal RNA". It matches the Rfam family "Bacterial small subunit ribosomal RNA", at positions 29 to 506 of the family's 1533-position model. The record is from RNAcentral.
ACGAACGCUGGCGGCAUGCCUAACACAUGCAAGUCGAACGAGACCUUCGGGUCUAGUGGCGCACGGGUGCGUAACGCGUGGGAACCUGCCCUUAGGUUCGGAAUAACUCCCCGAAAGGGGUGCUAAUACCGGAUAAUGUCUUCGGACCAAAGAUUUAUCGCCUUUGGAUGGGCCCGCGUUGGAUUAGCUAGUUGGUAGGGUAAAAGCCUACCAAGGCGACGAUCCAUAGCUGGUCUGAGAGGAUGAUCAGCCACACUGGGACUGAGACACGGCCCAGACUCCUACGGGAGGCAGCAGUGGGGAAUAGUGGACAAUGGGCGAAAGCCUGAUCCAGCAAUGCCGCGUGAGUGAUGAAGGCCUUAGGGUUGUAAAGCUCUUUUACCCGGGAUGAUAAUGACAGUACCGGGAGAAUAAGCUCCGGCUAACUCCGU